Molecule: long non-coding RNA, 1380 nt
Organism: Helianthus annuus (common sunflower)
Lineage: Eukaryota; Viridiplantae; Streptophyta; Magnoliopsida; Asterales; Asteraceae
Exons: 3
Source: RefSeq, a predicted model, not a curated record
ACUAAACAGAGCCGCCGCUUCUCUGACGAUUGGCCGACCUCCGGAGCGUCGUAGGCCUUGAUUAACCGAACAAAGAGUAAGGAAUCUCAUGGUGGUGGUGAUGUUUGCAGACGUGUCGGCUAGGGUUCCGGUGACCGUAGAUGGUCCGGUGGCUUACACACACGAUGGCAAGAGGCUAUAGGUGCGACUGUUGAUUACCUUCUCCAAUUUUCAGGCUUCCAACCCUCCAACAAGACGUGGCGGCUAGGGUUCCAGUGACCCUGGAUGGUGCGGUGGCGUACACACACGAUGGCAAGAGGCUAUAGACGCAACUGUUGAUUACCUUCUCCAAUUUUCAGGCUUUCAACCCUCCAACAAGUUGAUGAUUGUGAUUUAUAUCCUAAAUUUUUGGGGUGAUGGCGGUGGUCUGAAGCUGAGAUGACCUUGUGGGACUAUUUAGCAAUACCAAGGGCGGCAUCUCGCAACUCAUUGCCACAUUAUCGACAUAGUAACGUGAAUUUGGCAGUUGGACCGUAACUGGAUAUACAAAAACAGCAACGGGUUGCAUGUGUGAAAGGAGUGUAACAUAAACGAUGAGAGUGGCGGAUCUAUUUCAAAAGAAAAGAAAAAAGAAUACAGACAUGAGAGACAAAGAGAAAGAGAGAGAUGAAGGUGAGAGAAAGUGGGCAAGCCACAGGAAACUGGCCGGGUUCGUGGUAAGUCUUAACACACUAAACCGAGACUAAGGAAUCCGAUGGUGGUGACAGGCCAUUCAAUGGAACAGCAGUGGUGAUGUUCUCAGCGUAGAUGGUGUACUGAGGGUGGUCGGAAUACCACUGUCACCUUUGAUCGAGAUGGUAAGUAUUAUCUGCUACUUGACUCAUUGUUAUAUGGUUGGUUUUAUUAUCUGAUGCUUAGCAAUGAACAGUCAAUUUGUUAUGUGAUUGGUUUGGUUCUGAUCAUAAGUUAGUUUGGUUAAGGAUCCUUCAAAAUGUCCUUCUGCAAGAUAUAUAUGCCAUGAUCACUUUUGUCACACUUUGUAUUCCUAAAAUGAAGGGAUCUUUGCCUGUUUUUAUAGCUCCAAAUUCAUUCAUGUUCACUGUGAUAGUGAUUGGCCUUUAUAAAUAUGAUAGUAGGAGAUUGGAUGAAAAAAGAUUUGUUAGAGCACCUUUUAUGCGAUCCACAUGCAUCAAAAAGACUUUCCAAGAAGUUUAUUAUAAGGGAAUGAGUUUUUUUAUUCACCAUUCAUCGUUGUUAUGUGUCAUCUCAAAUUACACCAUCACCCUCUUUCAACUUUCAUGAAAAAUACUCAUCAUUCAUCUAUUACAUAAAGUUUCAACUACCUUCUUAUCAAUGUUAGUACAGUAGAUAGUUCUUGCACACAUUUCCCUUUCAUCUUCA